AAACCAGCACCUCAAGUGGUCAGGAUGAUUAUUGGGCCUAAAGCAUCCGUAGCCGGCUCAGUAAGUUUUCGGUUAAAUCUGUACGCUCAACGUACAGGCUGCCGGGAAUACUGCAGAGCUAGGGAGUGGGAGAGGUAGACGGUACUCGGGAGGAAGUGGUAAAAUGCUUUGAUCUUUCGAUGACCACCUGUGGCGAAGGCGGUCUACCAGAACACGUCCGACGGUGAGGGAUGAAAGCUGGGGGAGCAAACCGGAUUAGAUACCCGAGUAGUCC
Molecule: ribosomal RNA, 274 nt
Filed under: uncultured bacterium
Lineage: Bacteria
Description: partial 16S ribosomal RNA
Rfam family: Archaeal small subunit ribosomal RNA
Source: RNAcentral